This 72-nucleotide transfer RNA is filed under the name bacterium. RNAcentral describes it as "tRNA-Arg". It matches the Rfam family "tRNA". Rfam says of the family: Transfer RNA (tRNA) molecules are approximately 80 nucleotides in length. Their secondary structure includes four short double-helical elements and three loops (D, anti-codon, and T loops). The record is from RNAcentral.
GCCCUCGUCGUUUAAUGGACAGGACGCGAACUUGCGGAGUUUGUAAUGCUGGUUCGAUUCCAGCCGAGGGCA